RNAcentral lists this long non-coding RNA (223 nucleotides) under Gallus gallus (chicken). Lineage: Eukaryota; Metazoa; Chordata; Aves; Galliformes; Phasianidae. The record is from RNAcentral.
GAUUGAUUGGUGGAGUCAUGCUCAGCCAUCCCUGCAGGAAGCGCACCGGGGCGAUGCUCUUCAGGCAGUGGGCGAUCGUCUGCUGUCUCCCAGUCAGGUGGGAGAGGGUGAGCUCAGAGACAGCGAGGGAUGGAAACAAGUCCCUGUCUGGGGCAGCGAGGGGACUGCCUCUCAUCCCGUCCCCCUCUCCCAGGUGCCCUUACAUAACAGGUUUAAGGUUCUG